This is a long non-coding RNA of Haliotis rufescens (red abalone), 1221 nucleotides long. RefSeq lists it as uncharacterized. Lineage: Eukaryota; Metazoa; Mollusca; Gastropoda; Lepetellida; Haliotidae. The transcript is spliced from 8 exons. The record is from RefSeq and is a predicted model, not a curated record.
AAUUUAUUUAAAGAAUCUAUUAAUUAUGGAGGCAACAAUUACUUAACCAUAAAUGAUUACAAUUUUCACAUAAGAAAUAAAAAUUACUGAAAGCAAUUCAUGUGGUAAAAGCAGUAUUAUGUUUAAUAAAUUUACAGUUCCUGCUCAAAAAGAAAAGAAAUUAACUCGGGACGCCAAAAGAAGCGUCAAGAUGCCACAUGUAUGGUGCACCACACCGGCCAAAUCCUCUCUGAAUACAGGGCGGAUCUCAAAGCAAGGAGUGGUAGUCAAAGCGGUUGACACCACUGUAUGAAAAGGUAGGGAUCUAUCCAUCAUUACUGGCUCCCUAAGUCGACAUCGAGGUGAAGACGCAGACGGAACGGCACCGUCACUGGGGAACAUAUAAGCCCACAGUUGGUGAGAACUUACGUCUUUACCAUUUUGGGGAGAUGUCCAGAAGAAAGGGGAAGUCUGGCUAUUACAAGGAAGCCAAUGUCGUUCUGAAGAGAAGCCCACUUUAAAUAACCACAAUAAGAAUGCAGGACAACUUUCAAGAUAACACCAACGGCUUUAAAAUGGGAACCGACUUGUACAAAGUGCAAGAUGGAGUAUACACGUUCUCCCAAAGGACGAAAAUUUUGACAUGUGGUACUUUUAAUUACGAGAUGCUGCAAGCAUUCCAAUAUCCUCCAGUUACGACCAUAGCUGAAUUGAAGUCAGUUCAAGGAAGAGUAGUUGAGGUCUCAGAACACAGUAGUGUUGAAUUAAAGACAGUAACUCGGACACAGAAACCAUCCAACUGAAGCUCUGGGGAGAACAUGGAAAAACGGAGUUGCCGUUAACUGAAGUUGUGAAUGUGCAAUGUGUGACACUGAAGGAAUUUCAGCAAAAGCUGGAUUUAAAUUUCACACCAAAAACAAAUGGUUGUGGAACAACUUACCCAGAGAAUUACGGGAUUUAAGACUGAGCGUCAUAUUGCGUGUUCACGACAAUCCAAUGGUCAUGGCGAAUGAUCAGCUCUUUCAGUGUGACCGUGAAACAAUUGAAUCUGUUUCCGGACAAGGAAGUGCCGAGCGGCCUUUAUCACCUUUGUAAGAGGUGAUGUUCUGAUUUCACCAGUACCAGAAGAUGAGCGAGCGAGGUUUUUAACGCCGUUUUUAGCAACAGUCGAGCAAUAUCACGGCGGGGACACCAGAAAUUAGAAGCGUAAAUAUGUACAAAUUAAAUAAAUCAUGACAAUUA